GACGAACGCUGGCGGCGUGCCUAAUACAUGCAAGUCGAACGCUUCUUUCCUCCCGAGUGCUUGCACUCAAUUGGAAAGAGGAGUGGCGGACGGGUGAGUAACACGUGGGUAACCUACCCAUCAGAGGGGGAUAACACUUGGAAACAGGUGCUAAUACCGCAUAACAGUUUAUGCCGCAUGGCAUAAGAGUGAAAGGCGCUUUCGGUUGUCGCUGAUGGAUGGACCCGCGGUGCAUUAGCUAGUUGGUGAGGUAACGGCUCACCAAGGCCACGAUGCAUAGCCGACCUGAGAGGAUGAUCGGCCACACUGGGACUGAGACACGGCCCAGACUCCUAAGGGAGGCAGCAGUAGGGAAUCUUCGGCAAUGGACGAAAGUCUGACCGAGCAACGCCGCGUGAGUGAAGAAGGUUUUCGGAUCGUAAAACUCUGUUGUUAGAGAAGAACAAGGACGUUAGUAACUGAACGUCCCAUGACGGUAUCUAACCAGAAAGCCACGGCUAACUACGUG
This 508-nucleotide ribosomal RNA is filed under the name uncultured bacterium. RNAcentral describes it as "partial 16S ribosomal RNA". It matches the Rfam family "Bacterial small subunit ribosomal RNA", at positions 28 to 507 of the family's 1533-position model. The record is from RNAcentral.